RNAcentral lists this ribosomal RNA (255 nucleotides) under uncultured bacterium. RNAcentral's name for it is "partial 16S ribosomal RNA". It matches the Rfam family "Bacterial small subunit ribosomal RNA", at positions 524 to 776 of the family's 1533-position model. The record is from RNAcentral.
UACGAGAGGUGCAAGCGUUGUCCGGAUUUAUUGGGCGUAAAGCGUUUCUAAAGGCGCUUUUGUAAGUUACUCUUUAAAGACCGAAGCUCAACUUCGGAAGUGGGAGUAAUACUGCAAGAGUUGAAAUAUUUCGGGGUUACUAGAACUAUCGGUGUAGGGGUGAAAUCCGUUGAUAUCGAUAGGAACUCCAAGGGCGAAGGCAGGUAACUAGGAAUUUUUUGACGCUGAUGAACGAAAGCUAGGGGAGCGAAAGGG